Molecule: transfer RNA, 71 nt
Filed under: Loxodonta africana (African savanna elephant)
Lineage: Eukaryota; Metazoa; Chordata; Mammalia; Proboscidea; Elephantidae
Rfam family: tRNA
About the family: Transfer RNA (tRNA) molecules are approximately 80 nucleotides in length.
Source: Rfam by way of RNAcentral
UCAUUGGUGGCUUAGUGGUAAAAUUCUUGCCUUCCAUGCAGGUGACCCAGGUUUGAUUCCUGGCCAACGCA